CCUACGGGCGGCAGCAGUGGGGAAUAUUGGUCAAUGGGCGAAAGCCUGAUCCAGCCAUGCCGCGUGUGUGAAGAAGGCCUUCGGGUUGUAAAGCACUUUCAGUGGGGAAGAAAGCCUUGGGGCUAAUACCCUCGAGGAAGGACAUCACCCACAGAAGAAGCACCGGCUAACUCCGUGCCAGCAGCCGCGGUAAUACGGAGGGUGCGAGCGUUAAUCGGAAUUACUGGGCGUAAAGCGCGCGUAGGCGGUCUGAUAAGCCGGUUGUGAAAGCCCCGGGCUCAACCUGGGAACGGCAUCCGGAACUGUCAGGCUAGAGUGCAGGAGAGGAAGGUAGAAUUCCCGGUGUAGCGGUGAAAUGCGUAGAGAUCGGGAGGAAUACCAGUGGCGAAGGCGGCCUUCUGGACUGACACUGACGCUGAGGUGCGAAAGCGUGGGUAGCAAACAGGAUUAGAUACCCCAGUAGUC
RNAcentral lists this ribosomal RNA (465 nucleotides) under Vreelandella stevensii. RNAcentral describes it as "partial 16S ribosomal RNA". It matches the Rfam family "Bacterial small subunit ribosomal RNA", at positions 338 to 795 of the family's 1533-position model. The record is from RNAcentral. Lineage: Bacteria; Pseudomonadati; Pseudomonadota; Gammaproteobacteria; Oceanospirillales; Halomonadaceae.